This 167-nucleotide ribosomal RNA is filed under the name uncultured bacterium. RNAcentral describes it as "partial 16S rRNA". It matches the Rfam family "Bacterial small subunit ribosomal RNA", at positions 352 to 511 of the family's 1533-position model. The record is from RNAcentral.
CAGUAGGGGAUCUUCCACAAUGGACGAAAGUCUGAUGGAGCAACGCCGCGUGAGUGAAGAAGGGUUUCGGCUCGUAAAACUCUGUUGUUAAAGAAGAACAUAUCUGAGAGUAACUGUUCAGGUAUUGACGGUAUUUAACCAGAAAGCCACGGCUAACUACGUGCCAG